UAGGGAUCUUCGGCAAUGGACGGAAGUCUGACCGAGCAACGCCGCGUGAGUGAAGAAGGUUUUCGGAUCGUAAAGCUCUGUUGUAAGAGAAGAACGAGUGUGAGAGUGGAAAGUUCACACUGUGACGGUAUCUUACCAGAAAGGGACGGCUAACUACGUGCCAGCAGCCGCGGUAAUACGUAGGUCCCGAGCGUUGUCCGGAUUUAUUGGGCGUAAAGCGAGCGCAGGCGGUUAGAUAAGUCUGAAGUUAAAGGCUGUGGCUUAACCAUAGUAGGCUUUGGAAACUGUUUAACUUGAGUGCAAGAGGGGAGAGUGGAAUUCCAUGUGUAGCGGUGAAAUGCGUAGAUAUAUGGAGGAACACCGGUGGCGAAAGCGGCUCUCUGGCUUGUAACUGACGCUGAGGCUCGAAAGCGUGGGGAGCAAACAGGAUUAGAUACCCUGGUAGUCCACGCUGUAAACGAUGAGUGCUAGGUGUUAGACCCUUUCCGGGGUUUAGUGCCGUAGCUAACGCAUUAAGCACUCCGCCUGGGGAGUACGACCGCAAGGUUG
Molecule: ribosomal RNA, 549 nt
Filed under: uncultured bacterium
Lineage: Bacteria
Description: bacterial SSU rRNA
Rfam family: Bacterial small subunit ribosomal RNA
Source: RNAcentral